Molecule: ribosomal RNA, 484 nt
Filed under: uncultured bacterium
Lineage: Bacteria
Description: partial 16S ribosomal RNA
Rfam family: Bacterial small subunit ribosomal RNA
Source: RNAcentral
AUUGAACGCUGGCGGCAGGCCUAACACAUGCAAGUCGAGCGGAUGAAGGGAGCUUGCUCCUGGAUUCAGCGGCGGACGGGUGAGUAAUGCCUAGGAAUCUGCCUGGUAGUGGGGGAUAACGUCCGGAAACGGGCGCUAAUACCGCAUACGUCCUGAGGGAGAAAGUGGGGGAUCUUCGGACCUCACGCUAUCAGAUGAGCCUAGGUCGGAUUAGCUAGUUGGUGAGGUAAAGGCCUACCAAGGCGACGAUCCGUAACUGGUCUGAAAGGAUGAUCAGUCACACUGGAACUGAGACACGGUCCAGACUCCUACGGGAGGCAGCAGUGGGGAAUAUUGGACAAUGGGCGAAAGCCUGAUCCAGCCAUGCCGCGUGUGUGAAGAAGGUCUUCGGAUUGUAAAGCACUUUAAGUUGGGAGGAAGGGAAGUAAGUUAAUACCUUGCUGUUUUGACGUUACCAACAGAAUAAGCAACGGCUAACUUCGUG